RNAcentral lists this ribosomal RNA (1245 nucleotides) under Neotrypaea tabogensis. RNAcentral describes it as "SSU rRNA". It matches the Rfam family "Eukaryotic small subunit ribosomal RNA", at positions 590 to 1806 of the family's 1831-position model. The record is from RNAcentral. Lineage: Eukaryota; Metazoa; Arthropoda; Malacostraca; Decapoda; Callianassidae.
UCCAAUAGCGUAUAUUAAAGUUGUUGCGGUUAAAAAGCUCGUAGUUGGCACUCUGUUCCGGACUGACGGCGCACCGCCCGGUGUUUGUCCGUCACGCUCCGAACAGCAGGGCCGACCCUGCCCCGCCGGCUCGCCCGGGGUGCUCUUCACCGAGUGUCCCGCGUGGCCGGCAAGUUUACUUUGAAAAAAUUAGAGUGCUCAAAGCAGGCUACUCGAAUGGCCUGGAUGGUGGAUGCAUGGAAUAAUGGAAUAGGACCUCGGUGCUAUUUUGUUGGUUUUCGGUGCCAGAGGUAAUGACGAAUAGAAACAGGCGGGGGCAUUCGUACUGCGACGCUAGAGGUGAAAUUCUUGGACCGUCGCAAGACGAACUACUGCGAAAGCAUUUGCCAAGGAUGUUUUCAUUAAUCAAGAACGAAAGUUAGAGGUUCGAAGGCGAUCAGAUACCGCCCUAGUUCUAACCAUAAACGAUGCUGACCAGCGAUCCGCUGGCGUUAUUCCCAUGACCCAGCGGGCAGCUUCCGGGAAACCACAAGUCUUUGGGUUCCGGGGGAAGUAUGGUUGCAAAGCUGAAACUUAAAGGAAUUGACGGAAGGGCACCACCAGGAGUGGAGCCUGCGGCUUAAUUUGACUCAACACGGGGAACCUCACCAGGCCCGGACACCGGGAGGAUUGACAGAUUGAGAGCUCUUUCUCGAUUCGGUGGGUGGUGGUGCAUGGCCGUUCUUAGUUGGUGGAGCGAUUUGUCUGGUUAAUUCCGAUAACGAACGAGACUCCGGCCUAUUAACUAGUCGACGGAUCUCCAGCGAUGGUGUCCAGUUCGUAACUUCUUCUUAGAGGGACUAGCGGCAUUCUAGCCGCACGAGAUUGAGCAAUAACAGGUCUGUGAUGCCCUUAGAUGUUCUGGGCCGCACGCGCGCUACACUGAAGGGAUCAACGUGUCCUCCCCCUCCGAGAGGAGCGGGUAACCCGUUCAAACCCCUUCAUGAUAGGGAUUGGGGCUUGCAACUGUUUCCCAUGAACGAGGAAUUCCCAGUAAGCGCAAGUCAUCAGCUUGCGUUGAUUACGUCCCUGCCCUUUGUACACACCGCCCGUCGCUACUACCGAUUGAAUGAUUUAGUGAGGCCUUCGGACCGGCGCUCCCGGACGCUGGACCCCGCCGUCAGGCGGGGCCCUCGCCUCGAGCUGACGGAAAGAUGUCCGAACUUGAUCAUUUAGAGGAAGUAAAAGUCGUAACAAGGUUUCCGU